AACGAACGCUGGCGGCAUGCCUAACACAUGCAAGUCGAACGAGACCUUCGGGUCUAGUGGCGCACGGGUGCGUAACGCGUGGGAACCUGCCCUUAGGUUCGGAAUAACUCCCCGAAAGGGGUGCUAAUACCGGAUAAUGUCUUCGGACCAAAGAUUUAUCGCCUUUGUAUGGGCCCGCGUUGGAUUAGCUGGUUGGUAGGGUAAAAGCCUACCAAGGCGACGAUCCAUAGCUGGUCUGUGAGGAUGAUCAGCCACACUGGGACUGAGACACGGCCCAGACUCCUCCGGGAGGCAUCAGUGGAGAAUAUUGGAAAAUGGGCGAAAGCCUGAUCCAGCGAUGCCGCGUAAGUGAUGAAGGCCUUAGGGAAGUAAAGCUCUUUUACCCGUGAUGAUAAUGACAGUACCGGGAGAAUAAGCUCCGGCUAACUCCGUG
This 433-nucleotide ribosomal RNA is filed under the name uncultured bacterium. Its description in RNAcentral is "partial 16S ribosomal RNA". It matches the Rfam family "Bacterial small subunit ribosomal RNA", at positions 29 to 507 of the family's 1533-position model. The record is from RNAcentral.